GCAGUAGCCGCGGGAAUACGUAGGGUGCAAGCGUUAAUCGGAAUUACUGGGCGUAAAGCGUGCGCAGGCGGUUUGUUAAGACAGAUGUGAAAUCCCCGGGCUCAACCUGGGAACUGCAUUUGUGACUGGCAAGCUAGAGUCUGGCAGAGGGGGGUGGAAUUCCGCGUGUAGCAGUGAAAUGCGUAGAUAUGCGGAGGAACACCGAUGGCGAAGGCAGCCCCCUGGGCCAACACUGACGCUCAUGCACGAAAGCGUGGGGAGCAAACAGGAUUAGAUACCCCCGUAGUCCCUGUCUCUUAUAC
This 302-nucleotide ribosomal RNA is filed under the name uncultured bacterium. RNAcentral's name for it is "partial 16S ribosomal RNA". It matches the Rfam family "Bacterial small subunit ribosomal RNA", at positions 508 to 807 of the family's 1533-position model. The record is from RNAcentral.